GCUGGGCAUGGUGGCUCACGCCUGUAAUCCCAACUACUUGGGAGGCUGAGGCAGAGGAAUUGCUUGAACCCAGGAGGCAGAGGUUGCAGUGAGCUGAGGUCAUGCCACUGAACUCCAGCAUGGGCAACAGAGCAAGACUCCGCCUCAA
Molecule: non-coding RNA, 148 nt
Filed under: Pan troglodytes (chimpanzee)
Lineage: Eukaryota; Metazoa; Chordata; Mammalia; Primates; Hominidae
Source: Rfam by way of RNAcentral